This is a non-coding RNA of Staphylococcus capitis, 43 nucleotides long. NCBI's taxonomy places the organism in Bacteria, Bacillati, Bacillota, Bacilli, Caryophanales, Staphylococcaceae. The record is from Rfam.
ACUAUGAUCCGCUGCUAUACUUUUGUCUAGGCAAGAACAUAGG